ACCAUCUAGACUGUUUUGAUUUUAUUAGUAAAUACAUAUGAAUUUGUAUUUUGUUUAUCCAGAUUUUGAUAACAUGUGAAAUGUAAAAAUUAUGUGUUAUCAAAUAUUUCCAUUAAAAAAAUUAUAUACACAGUGAUUCUUUUAUUAUUCACUUCUUAAUUAUUUGAUGUAUCAAAAUAAUGAUUGAUUUUAUUUUAGGAGGUUUUUAGCUACAUGUUUUUUUCUAAUUUUUAAUUAUUAAAGUAGUUUUUAAAUGGUAUUAUAUACAUACAAAGUGAUUAGUUUAAUUUAAACCACUUUAUUACUCUCAAAAUGAAUAAGAUAUUGAAAAAUGUUUGAUUCUUUUUAAUUAUAAAUAAUUUCGAUUUAACUUUUUAGAAUUAUCACUUAUAAUUUGUUGUGAUUUCAACUUUAUUUUUUCAAAUGGAAACAAAAUUAACUAGCUUAUUUAAUAGAUGGCGAUUUAGAAAAUGACUAUUCAAUAUCAAUUUUUGGAUUAUUAUUUUGUAUAAAAAUGUGAAAAUUUUCUAAAGUACUGGUCCAAAAGAUGUUAUCAUUAUUUUCUUAAUUAUAUCAUUUUCUAUUUUAUAAACUAAUUUAAUAUAUGUGUUGCUAUAUAAAUAUAAAAUAUAUAUAUGUAAUUAAAAAAAAAAAAAAAACCCCAAACUUUUUUUCAAUAUUAUAUUUAUUUUGUAAGUAAUCAAGUAGUUUAUAAUAAACUGAUCUUACUGCAUAUAACUUAGUUAUUAGAUAACAUCUUAAUUAAGAGAAAAUGACUAAUUGUUAACUCAUUAAACCACUAUUUCAGAAUUUGAUGCUAAUUUAAAGUAAUAGCUGAAAGUGAAGUUAGGUUUUGUAAAUUUUAUUUUAAGACAUUCAUUCUACGUCUAUGUAUUUAAAUGUUAAUAAUUGUUUAAGUAAAUUUUGGUUUAAAAAUUGUUAUUGACCUGUCAUUUUCUUAAUAUAAAUAUAAAUAAGCUUACUAAUUAAAUGUCAAAAGUGUCUGUUCCGUGUGCCAAAAAGAAAAUUCUUGAUUUAUAUUUUAUGUGGUGAUUAUAGCUUCAAUUCUGUAUAUGUUAGUUACAAAGAUUUGAUUGCUUUAAAUAUUUUACGAGAAGAAUAACUUUUUUUUUUUAAAUACACACAUCUAUUUUAAUGGUCAUUUUAAAUUAUGUUACCUAUUAUUAUUAUUUAUUUUGAACAUGGAAUAUUUGGCAUUUUCGUUUCAUAAGUGUUGCAAUUUUAAAAAUUGAAAUUGACAUCACCCCUAUAAGACAAAAGGUAUGAUCCAAAAAAAAAUUUCUUAAUUUUAAUAUAGUGGUCAAUUAUAAUGUGAUAACUGUAUAUUUUUUUCCCUCUACUUAUGUGUUUUAAAUAGUUUAAAAAAUAUUUGGUUAUUUCUUUUAAACUUGAAUUGUCUAUUACUAUAUUUAUUAUUUAUCUUGUCAGUUAAAUUUGCUUAAGUAUAUGAGAAUAUUUUAUUGUAAAUAUAUAUAUUACAUAGACAGUGAUGAUUUUCUAGCACACCAAUGCUCCUGAUAAAUUAUUGAUGAAAUUUUUAAGAACGGCCGUCUGAGUCUAUGGUUUUACAAUAAAUUGAAUAUUCUUAUCUUAUAAGUGUUACAAAAAUUAAUUUUUUUAUGUUAAUGAUGAUGUUCUUGCACACCAAAGCACCUGAGAUAUUUUAUGAAGAUAUCUUAAGAACGGCCGUCUGAAAAUAAACCUUCUAUGAUAAAAAAAUUUGUUUAUAUUAAUAUAUUUUUCAAUGAUACUGCAGAAAAAAAAUUGUCAAUUGUAAGGUUGAUUGGUCAUUUUUCUCUAUUGUAUUUAGUUUGGGAAUAUUUGAAAUUAUAUUUAUGAUAUGAUAUGCAAACUUUGUAUGAUCUUGAAAUUUUUCUGAUACAGGGGAACUGAGAUCAUAUUUGGAUUUGAUGAUUUAGAAAUUAUACCCUCCAACCUUAUGACUGAUACUUUUUUUGAUGUUUCACAAUAUAAACACCAAGUAAA
Long non-coding RNA from Daktulosphaira vitifoliae (grape phylloxera), 2007 nucleotides. RefSeq lists it as uncharacterized. Lineage: Eukaryota; Metazoa; Arthropoda; Insecta; Hemiptera; Phylloxeridae. The record is from RefSeq and is a predicted model, not a curated record. The transcript is spliced from 2 exons.